This 23-nucleotide non-coding RNA is filed under the name Cricetulus griseus (Chinese hamster). The record is from RNAcentral. Lineage: Eukaryota; Metazoa; Chordata; Mammalia; Rodentia; Cricetidae.
CAUGUUGUAGAUAAUUUAUGUGG